RNAcentral lists this long non-coding RNA (600 nucleotides) under Ursus americanus (American black bear). RNAcentral's name for it is "lncRNA (ENSUAMG00000016269.1)". The record is from RNAcentral. Lineage: Eukaryota; Metazoa; Chordata; Mammalia; Carnivora; Ursidae.
GUCCGUUUCUCAUGCAUGCGAUUGUAUUGUCCACACUUCUCAGGUGCGGUGGCCACGCCAGGCUCGCCGUCGGACUGCAGGACUAGGCCUUCCUGUCCUUGGAUGCACGGAGGUUGUCCAGGUCCGCGGAAGAAGUGUGGUCCCUGGUCCGCACGCUGGGGACGUCUGUCGCGAAGACGGUGCUGUGGCCACACCAGACUCGCCGUCGGCCCACAGGACUAGACUUUCCUGUCCUCGGAUGAGUGGAGGUUCCAGUCCCCGGAAGAAGUGUGGUCUCGGGUGGGCUCGCUGUGGAUGUCGGACCUCGAAGACAGUGUGGUGGCCACGACUGGUCGUCAUCGGCCCGCAGGACUAGGCUUUCCAUCCUUGGAUGCACGGCCGUUGUCCAGGUUCCCGGAAGAAGUGUGGUCCCUGGUGGGCAUGCUGCGGACGUCGGAUCACGAAGACGGUGUGGUGGCCACGCCAGGCUCACCGUCAGCCUGCAGGACUAGAACUUCCUGUCCUUGGAUGUGUGGAGGUUUGCCGAGUACCCAGAAGAAGUGUGGUCCCGUGUGGGCAGGCUGCAGACAUCGGAUCGUAGAGACGGUGGAGUUGGCUUGA